RNAcentral lists this ribosomal RNA (506 nucleotides) under uncultured bacterium. RNAcentral's name for it is "partial 16S ribosomal RNA". It matches the Rfam family "Bacterial small subunit ribosomal RNA", at positions 29 to 523 of the family's 1533-position model. The record is from RNAcentral.
AUUGAACGCUGGCGGCAGGCCUAACACAUGCAAGUCGGACGGUAGCACAGAGGAGCUUGCUCCUCGGGUGACGAGUGGCGGACGGGUGAGUAAUGUCUGGGGAUCUGCCCGAUAGAGGGGGAUAACCACUGGAAACGGUGGCUAAUACCGCAUAACGUCGCAAGACCAAAGAGGGGGACCUUCGGGCCUCUCACUAUCGGAUGAACCCAGAUGGGAUUAGCUAGUAGGCGGGGUAACGGCCCACCUAGGCGACGAUCCCUAGCUGGUCUGAGAGGAUGACAAGCCACACUGGAACUGAGACACGGUCCAGACUCCUACGGGAGGCAGCAGUGGGGAAUAUUGCACAAUGGGCGCAAGCCUGAUGCAGCCAUGCCGCGUGUAUGAAGAAGGCCUUCGGGUUGUAAAGUACUUUCAGCGGGGAGGAAGGCGAUGUGGUCAAUAACCGCGUCGAUUGACGUUACCCGCAGAAGAAGCACCGGCUAACUCCGUGCCAGCCGCCGCGGUAA